GAUGAACUGGAAAAAGCAUGAAAGCUCUCUGUUGGAAGUUUUUUCGGACGUGGGUUCGACUCCCACCGCCUCCACCA
RNAcentral lists this transfer RNA (77 nucleotides) under Tunturiibacter gelidiferens. RNAcentral describes it as "tRNA-OTHER". It matches the Rfam family "transfer-messenger RNA", at positions 297 to 374 of the family's 374-position model. From Rfam's summary of the family: Bacterial tmRNA, also known as 10Sa RNA or SsrA, is named for its dual tRNA and mRNA-like properties. Lineage: Bacteria; Pseudomonadati; Acidobacteriota; Terriglobia; Terriglobales; Acidobacteriaceae. The record is from RNAcentral.